Poecilia reticulata (guppy) is the source of this 1073-nucleotide non-coding RNA. The record is from RefSeq and is a predicted model, not a curated record. Lineage: Eukaryota; Metazoa; Chordata; Actinopteri; Cyprinodontiformes; Poeciliidae.
GUUUAAAAUCUGGUGACAUUUUCCUUAAAAUGCGCCUCUCUGCGUCCUCCGCUGGCCUUUAGGAGGGCUGCGCCCCUUCGGAGAGCUGCUUUCAUGGCGCACAGAAAGCAUCUGACUCACUGUACACACAUAAUUCAAUUAGCCACACAUGUGUGUGCAUUUAUGUCUACAUGGUUGUGUGUGUCUGCGUCUCCUUUGAAGCUCCUUUAUUCCCAGUAAAGCAAAGAAGGGGACACGUCUGUGGACAAUAUAAAGCAAACAAAGAGGGAGAAAUGAAAAUCACUGGGUGCUUUGUUCUCGUCUCUCUGCUCCAACCGAGCGCUCUCUGACCGCAGCUGAGCUUUUCCAUGUUCCCUGACUUUCCCUCUCGCGUCUCUCGCUCUGGUUGUCAUGGAUAGCCCAGCAACGUGGAGCUCCCAGUGCUGACCAGCGGGGCCGCAGAUUGAGCCUCCCUGCCCCCCUACCACACCCUGUCCGCCCCGCGGAGAGGCAGAGAAGCCUUUAAGAUCGGCCCCCUGCUGGGGCUGCUGGAGGCGGGAGGAGGAGGACGGACUUCUUUUCUCUCUCCAUCACCUCAAUUGUCUCACCCGCAAACCUUCAGCCUUCCCUCCAAAAUGAAAUGAGCAAGAGACUGAGGAUUUCCGCAGCUCACGUGGCGUCAGCUGGACGACGACAGAAUGCGAGCUAUCAAAGCCUGGAGUUCCUGAGGUGAAGAGGCACAGAAAGUCUAUUCUCCACUGCUGAACAAAGUGCUGCUGAACAUGGCUCCUCUGCAUUGUGCUGCUUCCCCACCUGCCACCUGCGAACACAGUUCAUGUUAUAUUUAUGUAGCCUAAAGCACACUCUCUCUCCCCGCCUGCCUUAAUCCCUCUGCUGCCUCUCGUGUCUCUCUGCCUGUCCUCAAAUCUCAUUCUUUUACACUUUGUAUCGCCUUCUUUUAUUUGAAACAAGUUCAUGUGUGACCGACUAAAAUGCUAACGCGAAGCUGCAUCGUUUAUCUGCUGUUAACAGAAAGAAGAUCGUUUUUCUGCAGAUGCACUGCAGUCGCCUGCAUUAUUCCUAACUAGUUUGAA